Molecule: non-coding RNA, 144 nt
Organism: Gossypium raimondii (Peruvian cotton)
Lineage: Eukaryota; Viridiplantae; Streptophyta; Magnoliopsida; Malvales; Malvaceae
Source: Rfam
UGUUAAAAUUUCAUUCAUUUGUACUAUUAAAAACUGACAUGUCUACUAGAAUUACCAUACAGCAACAUGUAGUGUGCUAUAUAUACCUCAUUCUGACAUACAAGGAUCGGUUUUAAACAACAUAAAUAAAUGAAAUUUUUAAUA